Echinops telfairi (small Madagascar hedgehog) is the source of this 160-nucleotide small nuclear RNA. Its record names the gene U1. It matches the Rfam family "U1 spliceosomal RNA". From Rfam's summary of the family: U1 is a small nuclear RNA (snRNA) component of the spliceosome (involved in pre-mRNA splicing). Its 5' end forms complementary base pairs with the 5' splice junction, thus defining the 5' donor site of an intron. There are significant differences in sequence and secondary structure between metazoan and yeast U1 snRNAs, the latter being much longer (568 nucleotides as compared to 164 nucleotides in human). Lineage: Eukaryota; Metazoa; Chordata; Mammalia; Afrosoricida; Tenrecidae. The record is from Ensembl.
AGAGCCAGUCGGGGGAGACGUCGUGAUCAGGGAGGUGGUGUCCCAGGGCGAGACUCACCCAUUGCACUGCGGGUGUGCUGACCCCCGCGAUUUCCCCAAAUGGGGGGAACUCGACUGCAUACUGUGUGGUAGUGGGGGACUGCGUUCGCGCUCUCUUCUG